Molecule: transfer RNA, 67 nt
Filed under: Hylomyscus pamfi
Lineage: Eukaryota; Metazoa; Chordata; Mammalia; Rodentia; Muridae
Description: tRNA-Pro
Rfam family: tRNA
About the family: Transfer RNA (tRNA) molecules are approximately 80 nucleotides in length.
Source: RNAcentral
CAAGAAGUAGUUUAAGUAGAAUGUCAGCUUUGGGUGCUGAUGGUGGGGAUUUACUCCUUCUUCUUGA